RNAcentral lists this ribosomal RNA (446 nucleotides) under uncultured bacterium. RNAcentral describes it as "partial 16S ribosomal RNA". It matches the Rfam family "Bacterial small subunit ribosomal RNA", at positions 338 to 795 of the family's 1533-position model. The record is from RNAcentral.
CCUACGAGGGGCAGCAGUCGAGAAUCAUUCACAAUGGGGGAAACCCUGAUGGUGCGACGCCGCGUGGGGGAAUGAAGGUCUUCGGAUUGUAAACCCCUGUCAUGCGGGAGCAAAUUAAAAAGAUAGUACCACAAGAGGAAGAGACGGCUAACUCUGUGCCAGCAGCCGCGGUAAUACAGAGGUCUCAAGCGUUGUUAGGACUCACUGGGCGUAAAGCGUGCGUAGGAUGUUUCGUAAGUCGUGGGUGAAAGGCGCGGGCUCAACCCGCGGACGGCACAUGAUACUGCGAGACUAGAGUGAUGGAGGGGGAACCGGAAUUCUCGGUGUAGCAGUGAAAUGCGUAGAUAUCGAGAGGAACACUCGUGGCGAAGGCGGGUUCCUGGACAUUAGCUGACGCUGAGGCACGAAGGCCAGGGGAGCGAAAGGGAUUAGAUACCCCUGUAGUC